GAUGAACGCUAGCGGCAGGCUUAACACAUGCAAGUCGAGGGGUAUAGUAGCAAUACUAGAGACCGGCGCACGGGUGCGUAACGCGUAUGCAAUCUACCUUUUACAGAGGGAUAGCCCAGAGAAAUUUGGAUUAAUACCUCAUAGCAUUGCGAAAUGGCAUCAUUUUGCAAUUAAAGUCACAACGGUAAAAGAUGAGCAUGCGUCCCAUUAGCUAGUUGGUAAGGUAACGGCUUACCAAGGCAACGAUGGGUAGGGGUCCUGAGAGGGAGAUCCCCCACACUGGUACUGAGACACGGACCAGACUCCUACGGGAGGCAGCAGUGAGGAAUAUUGGACAAUGGGCGCAAGCCUGAUCCAGCCAUGCCGCGUGCAGGAUGACGGUCCUAUGGAUUGAAACUGCUUUUUGACGAGAAGAAACACUUCCGACGUGUCGGAGCUUGACGGUAUCGUAAGAAUAAGGA
This 461-nucleotide ribosomal RNA is filed under the name uncultured bacterium. RNAcentral describes it as "bacterial SSU rRNA". It matches the Rfam family "Bacterial small subunit ribosomal RNA", at positions 28 to 492 of the family's 1533-position model. The record is from RNAcentral.